ACUCCUACGGGAGGCAGCAGUGGGGAAUAUUGCACAAUGGGGGAAACCCUGAUGCAGCCAUGCCGCGUGUGUGAAGAAGGCCUUCGGGUUGUAAAGCACUUUCAGUAGGGAGGAAGGUAGUGUAGUUAACACCUGCAUUAUUUGUACGUUACCUACAGAAGAAGCACCGGCUAACUCCGUGCCAGCAGCCGCGGGUAAUACGGGAGGGUGCGAGCGUUAAUCGGAAUUACUGGGCGUAAAGCGCAUGCAGGCGGCCUGUUAAGUCAGAUGUGAAAGCCCGGGGCUUAACCUCGGAAUUGCAUUUGAAACUGGCAGGCUAGAGUCUUGUAGAGGGGUUAGAAUUUCGAGGUGUAGCGGUGAAAUGCGUAGAGAUCGUAGAAGG
This 382-nucleotide ribosomal RNA is filed under the name uncultured bacterium. RNAcentral's name for it is "bacterial SSU rRNA". It matches the Rfam family "Bacterial small subunit ribosomal RNA", at positions 335 to 705 of the family's 1533-position model. The record is from RNAcentral.